Molecule: ribosomal RNA, 253 nt
Filed under: uncultured bacterium
Lineage: Bacteria
Description: partial 16S ribosomal RNA
Rfam family: Bacterial small subunit ribosomal RNA
Source: RNAcentral
UACGUAGGGUGCAAGCGUUGUCCGGAAUUACUGGGCGUAAAGCGUGCGCAGGCGGUUCGUUGUGUCGGCGGUGAAAGCCCCGGGCUCAACCUGGGAAUGGCCGUUGAAACUGGCGAACUGGAGUGUGGCAGAGGGGGGUGGAAUUCCGCGUGUAGCAGUGAAAUGCGUAGAGAUGCGGAGGAACACCGAUGGCGAAGGCAGCCCCCUGGGCUACCACUGACGCUCAGGCACGAAAGCGUGGGGAGCAAACAGG